RNAcentral lists this ribosomal RNA (488 nucleotides) under Salmonella enterica. RNAcentral's name for it is "bacterial SSU rRNA". It matches the Rfam family "Bacterial small subunit ribosomal RNA", at positions 1 to 480 of the family's 1533-position model. Lineage: Bacteria; Pseudomonadati; Pseudomonadota; Gammaproteobacteria; Enterobacterales; Enterobacteriaceae. The record is from RNAcentral.
AAAUUGAAGAGUUUGAUCAUGGCUCAGAUUGAACGCUGGCGGCAGGCCUAACACAUGCAAGUCGAACGGUAGCACAGAGAGCUUGCUCUCGGGUGACGAGUGGCGGACGGGUGAGUAAUGUCUGGGAAACUGCCUGAUGGAGGGGGAUAACUACUGGAAACGGUGGCUAAUACCGCAUAACGUCGCAAGACCAAAGAGGGGGACCUUCGGGCCUCUUGCCAUCAGAUGUGCCCAGAUGGGAUUAGCUUGUUGGUGAGGUAACGGCUCACCAAGGCGACGAUCCCUAGCUGGUCUGAGAGGAUGACCAGCCACACUGGAACUGAGACACGGUCCAGACUCCUACGGGAGGCAGCAGUGGGGAAUAUUGCACAAUGGGCGCAAGCCUGAUGCAGCCAUGCCGCGUGUAUGAAGAAGGCCUUCGGGUUGUAAAGUACUUUCAGCGGGGAGGAAGGUGUUGUGGUUAAUAACCACAGCAAUUGACGUUACCC